AUACGUAGGGGGCGAGCGUUGUCCGGAAUGAUUGGGCGUAAAGGGCGCGUAGGCGGCCCGGUAUGUCUGGAGUGAAAGUCCUGUUUUUAAGAUGGGAAUUGCUUUGGAUACUGUCGGGCUUGAGUGCAGGAGAGGUAAGUGGAAUUCCCAGUGUAGCGGUGAAAUGCGUAGAGAUUGGGAGGAACACCAGUGGCGAAGGCGACUUACUGGACUGUAACUGACGCUGAGGCGCGAAAGUGUGGGGAGCAAACAGGAUUAGAUACCCUGGUAGUCCACACUGUAAACGAUGAAUGCUAGGUGUAGGGGGUAUCGACCCCUUCUGUGCCGCAGUCAACACAUUAAGCAUUCCACCUGGGGAGUACGGCCGCAAGGUUGAAACUCAAAGGAAUUGACGGGG
Molecule: ribosomal RNA, 397 nt
Filed under: uncultured bacterium
Lineage: Bacteria
Description: partial 16S ribosomal RNA
Rfam family: Bacterial small subunit ribosomal RNA
Source: RNAcentral